CUGGUUGCUGCCGUAAAACCUCCAAACCACCGCCCCCAUGGUUGUGAUCUCUGACUUUGGAGAAUGUCAGCCUCACAAGGGCCAAAAUGUCCUCUCGGCCACCGCAGUACCUACAACAGCUGGAUCGUGUUGGGCGCAUUGUUCUUUCCUGCUUCUCAGCUGUAGUUGACAAAAACCAUUUCUGGCUGAUUUGAGCAAUGAGGGACUUCAGUAAAUAAAUAUUUGCUAAUGAAUGAAUCCCGA
Molecule: long non-coding RNA, 243 nt
Organism: Ailuropoda melanoleuca (giant panda)
Lineage: Eukaryota; Metazoa; Chordata; Mammalia; Carnivora; Ursidae
Exons: 2
Source: RefSeq, a predicted model, not a curated record